GACGAACGCUGGCGGCGUGCCUAAUACAUGCAAGUAGAACGCUGAAGCGAGGAGCUUGCUCUUCUUGGAUGAGUUGCGAACGGGUGAGUAACGUGUAGUUAACCUGCCUUGUAGCGGGGGAUAACUAUUUGAAACGAUAGCUAAUACCGCAUAACAAUGGAUGACACAUGGUAUUUAUUUGAAAGGGGCAAUUGCUCCACUACAAGAUGGACCUGCGGUGUAUUGGCUAGUAGGUGAGGUAAUGGCUUACCUAGACGAGGAUAGAUAGCCGACCGGAGAGGGUGGUCGGCCACAUUGGGAGUGUGACACGGCCCAUGCGCCUGCGGGACGGAGCAGGAGGGGAUCUGCGGCAAUGGGGGGGAACCUGACCGAGCGGCGCCGCGUGAGUUACGAAGGUUUUCGGAUCGGAAAGCUCUGUUUUAAGUUAAGAACGGGUGUGAGAGUGGAAAGUGCACACUGUGACGGUAGCUUACCAGAAAGGGACGGCUAACUACGUG
RNAcentral lists this ribosomal RNA (497 nucleotides) under uncultured bacterium. RNAcentral describes it as "partial 16S ribosomal RNA". It matches the Rfam family "Bacterial small subunit ribosomal RNA", at positions 28 to 507 of the family's 1533-position model. The record is from RNAcentral.